UACGUAGGGUGCAAGCGUUGUCCGGAAUUAUUGGGCGUAAAGAGCUCGUAGGCGGUCUGUCACGUCGGCUGUGAAAACCCGAGGCUCAACCUCGGGCCUGCAGUCGAUACGGGCAAACUAGAGUACUGCAGGGGAGACUGGAAUUCCUGGUGUAGCGGUGAAAUGCGCAGAUAUCAGGAGGAACACCCGUAGCGAAGGCGGCACUCUGGGCCGAUUCUGACACUGAGGAGCGAAAGCGUGGGGAGCGAACAGG
This 253-nucleotide ribosomal RNA is filed under the name uncultured bacterium. RNAcentral describes it as "partial 16S ribosomal RNA". It matches the Rfam family "Bacterial small subunit ribosomal RNA", at positions 524 to 776 of the family's 1533-position model. The record is from RNAcentral.